Molecule: ribosomal RNA, 465 nt
Filed under: Vreelandella stevensii
Lineage: Bacteria; Pseudomonadati; Pseudomonadota; Gammaproteobacteria; Oceanospirillales; Halomonadaceae
Description: partial 16S ribosomal RNA
Rfam family: Bacterial small subunit ribosomal RNA
Source: RNAcentral
CCUACGGGAGGCAGCAGUGGGGAAUAUUGGACAAUGGGGGCAACCCUGAUCCAGCCAUGCCGCGUGUGUGAAGAAGGCCCUCGGGUUGUAAAGCACUUUCAGUGAGGAAGAACGCCUGGUGGUUAAUACCCAUCAGGAAAGACAUCACUCACAGAAGAAGCACCGGCUAACUCCGUGCCAGCAGCCGCGGUAAUACGGAGGGUGCGAGCGUUAAUCGGAAUUACUGGGCGUAAAGCGCGCGUAGGUGGCUUGAUAAGCCGGUUGUGAAAGCCCCGGGCUCAACCUGGGAACGGCAUCCGGAACUGUCAAGCUAGAGUGCAGGAGAGGAAGGUAGAAUUCCCGGUGUAGCGGUGAAAUGCGUAGAGAUCGGGAGGAAUACCAGUGGCGAAGGCGGCCUUCUGGACUGACACUGACACUGAGGUGCGAAAGCGUGGGUAGCAAACAGGAUUAGAUACUCUAGUAGUC